AUUAAAAUCAGACUGAUUCGGAAUGGAAAC
Molecule: non-coding RNA, 30 nt
Filed under: Methanocaldococcus jannaschii DSM 2661
Lineage: Archaea; Methanobacteriati; Methanobacteriota; Methanococci; Methanococcales; Methanocaldococcaceae
Source: RNAcentral